UUUAUGUCGUUUGGAAAUUGCGUUUUCUGCUCACUAGGUCCAGAGCAUUACUCCCACAGCAGCGCUUUUACAUCUGUCUUUGACCUUUGUGGCUACAAGUCCAGAUAACUGCACUUGGUUGCAGGCCAAACUCCAUUUCCGUACUGUUGUAGCCGGGCUGCCCCGCUGGGGGGCAGCACCUCACAAGCGAUCGGGGCCUUGGCGUGAGGCGUUUGGAACUAAGCUUCAACCCGAGGACACCAGAGGACAUCGCCGUUGGGGCAGAAAGGCGCACUAAUGAAAAUUAGUCACGGAUCUCUGUUGUCCGUAUAGAGCAAAGACAGGCAGGUCUCAAAGCAUAUUCUGGAGGGGUACUUUUUCGAACGAAGAGACCAGCUUGGAUGUGUGUGCUGAGGAUCCAUCUAUUUGUUCUCUUCCCACUGCAGAACCCUUCCCAGCACGGACUGUGCGGGGCUUUUGGAGCUGGUCGUAAGGCAGGUGUGAGCGCCCCUGUUUAGCCGGAGAGCCUGCUUGUUCAUCUUUGAAACGUUCGGAGAGAUCUUUUUGCAUGUGAAUGCAAGUUGUGAAUCUCCAAGAGAGGGGGUUGCUAAUGUAGGAUUUUCCAGAGCUAUUUUCAGCAUUCAUCUUCGAACCAUCUUCAGGGCUGACGCUCCUGGAACACCUUGAACAAUACUAAUCGGUUGGUGGCAGCUUUCCUGGUGGAGGAAUGUUAACCCAUCCACGGGGCAGGAGAAAAACAAAACAAAACAAGAGAUGGGGGCUUAGCCACGGAUCUAGGAAGAUCUUCCUCGUUUUUUGUUUUAAUAAUCCACCAUCAUCAAGUAGGUAAAUGAAUUGUUUGAAAGCCCAGGUGUCAGCAGCUCUGGACAGGCUGCCGUUUGCUGCUUUCCGGUGAAGAUCAAAGGUGCCAGUGGACGUGCACUCACGUGUCAGAGAAGACGUGGCUGGGACCAACAACCCUGAGAAGACCAGGGCCACAUGGGCUUGGAACCCCAAGCUGGGAGCAGUCCAGCCACCACUCUUGUGCCUACACCCUGGUUUCUGAACGCAGACUCAAGUGCCUGCUGUCAGAGCCUCUCACUCAGACUCGUGUCCUCCUUGAGACUCCUGGUGUCAGGAGACCGUCUUCCACACUUCCCCCACAUUCCCGAAUGUUGCCAGGGGGUGGCUGCUUUGUCCUUGUGUGCACUGUUACCUGACAAAGCCUUCCAGUUCCUUUUGUUUUGUGUUGCAUCUUCCCAUGUCAGCUCACCACGUAGACCCCUUAUGAGCCCGAGAAGCCAGCACUCAACACUGUGCAGAGGAAACAGAAGCUGUACAGUGAGACACAGAGCUGGGACUAGCCCUCAGGCCCUCCCCUCCCACACACACCCACCAGGGCCCCUCCAGGUCUGUGUCCUGCCCUCUUCUGCCCACAUCCUCCCAUGGCUUUGCUGAAGCUUCUAGCUCUUACUCUGCUCCUGGUCUCUCCCUGCUCCCUAGGCUCCCCCGCCCAUGACGCCUCAACCUUCGUCAUCAGCCCCUCCUGCCAGACUCCAUCGUUCUCACCAUCAUCACAAACCUCCCUGCCCUCCCGCCCUCCCACUGCACCCUCAUGGCCAAACCCCAAGCUGGGAUCAGUCCAGCUGCUACCCUUGCCUGUGCCUCUCACGCCUGGGACUGCUUGCCUGGCACACUGUCCAUGAUUCCCUUCAAACUCCAUCCUCCUUAAACCUCUGACUCACUCAACCCAGGAUAGCACCCCCGAUUUCACAGAGAAAACAGCCACCAGACAGCAACUCCUGUAACUUUCUGUCACCAAAUUUAUAAAUGUGCCUGUACCAGA
Long non-coding RNA from Herpailurus yagouaroundi (jaguarundi), 1825 nucleotides. RefSeq lists it as uncharacterized. NCBI's taxonomy places the organism in Eukaryota, Metazoa, Chordata, Mammalia, Carnivora, Felidae. The transcript has 2 exons. The record is from RefSeq and is a predicted model, not a curated record.